RNAcentral lists this ribosomal RNA (966 nucleotides) under Pleurotheciella uniseptata. Its description in RNAcentral is "SSU rRNA". It matches the Rfam family "Eukaryotic small subunit ribosomal RNA", at positions 101 to 1077 of the family's 1831-position model. Lineage: Eukaryota; Fungi; Ascomycota; Sordariomycetes; Pleurotheciales; Pleurotheciaceae. The record is from RNAcentral.
UUAUAUAAGUUAUCGUUUAUUUGAUAUUGCCUAUCCUACAUGGAUAACAGUGGUAAUUCUAGAGCUAAUACAUGCUGAAAAUCCCGACUUCGGAAGGGACGUAUUUAUUAGAAUCAGAACCAAUGCCCUUCGGGGUUUUCUGGUGACUCAUGAUAACUCCACAGAUCGCAUGGCCUUGCGCCGGCGAUGGCUCAUUCAAAUUUCUUCCCUAUCAACUUUCGACGGUACGGUCUUGGCCUACCGUGGUUGUAACGGGUGACGGAGGGUUAGGGCUCGACCCCGGAGAAGGAGCCUGAGAAACGGCUACUACAUCCAAGGAAGGCAGCAGGCGCGCAAAUUAUCCAAUCCCGACUCGGGGAGAUAGUGACAAUAAAUACCGAUACAGGGCUCUUUUGGGCCCUGUAAUUGGAAUGAGUACAAUUUAAACCUCUUAACGAGGAACAAUUGGAGGGCAAGUCUGGUGCCAGCAGCCGCGGUAAUUCCAGCUCCAAUAGCGUAUAUUAAAGUUGUUGUGGUUAAAAAGCUCGUAGUCGAACCUCGAGCCUGGCCGGCCGGUCCGCCUCACCGCGUGCACUGGUCUGGCCGGGCUCUUCCCUCUGCGGAACCGCAUGUCCUUCACUGGGCGUGUCGGGGAGGCAGGACUUUUACUUUGAAAAAAUUAGAGUGCUCAAGGCAGGCCAAUGCUCGAAUACAUUAGCAUGGAAUAAUAGAAUAGGACGUUGGUUCUAUUUUGUUGGUUUCUAGGACCGCCGUAAUGAUCAAUAGGGACGGUCGGGGGCAUCAGUAUUCAGCCGUCAGAGGUGAAAUUCUUGGACCGGCUGAAGACUAACUACUGCGAAAGCAUUUGCCAAGGACGUUUUCGCUGAUCAGGAACGAAAGUUAGGGGAUCGAAGACGAUCAGAUACCGUCGUAGUCUUAACCAUAAACUAUGCCGACUAGGGAUCGGGCGGCGUUCUUUCUAGACCC